Non-coding RNA from Callithrix jacchus (white-tufted-ear marmoset), 2858 nucleotides. The record is from RefSeq and is a predicted model, not a curated record. Lineage: Eukaryota; Metazoa; Chordata; Mammalia; Primates; Cebidae.
GAGGCGGGAUUUUGAAAGCCGGACGCUGACGAGCUUCCGACUUUGGUGUGAACGCACACUUAGAAACUUGGUCCGUCCUACAUAGGUGUAGAAGUCGGAUUUGGAGAGUGCAGAAGCGUGUCCCGGUCAAGGUUAGGUCACAGAGGCUUUGGAACUAUAUAGGUCUGUGUUGUAUUCUUCCAACACUUGCGGACGAUAUGGAUGAGUAAUAUAAGAGCCUGAAUUUCCUUGUCCCUGGAGUGAAGAUAAUACAACCUAAUUGAUGCUAGGUAGGUAAUGAGUUCAACAAAUGGUACCCUUUUUACAUUAUAGUUUGAAACGUAUAGCUACACGGUACUAUUUGUAAGCAGUGUUUCUAGAGAUUUACAACAUAUACCCAAAAAACAGGAAAGGAAUUGUCUUUAAUUGUGGCCUGGUAAAUUCCUGCUGGUUGCUAGAAAAGAGAGUUCUGAGACAAUCCAUGGGUACCUUUUUUCUUUACAUUUGUGUCCUUUAUGAAGCCAGGCACAGUAUGGAAAUUACUGAAUUCAGAAUAUAGCAAGGUUAAAGAGGCUGAAAACGACUUAGAAUAUUUUAUACAAAAAAAGGAAGCAUGCCUAAGAAAUCAGCUUUCUUUAAAUGAGAUUUCAUUCUUAUGAAGCAAGUGAAUUUCUAUUUUACAAGUAAACCAUAUACUGUACCUUGUCUUUCAAAUAAGAAGUUAGCUAUCUCACCCAAAAAUGUAUGUGCACAAUGUAUUUUAGAGAAAGCUCACUUUCUGAUAGUCUAUAUUUACUGUAUCUUGUUUAACAUACCAGGCCAAGACAUUUGAAUAGACACUUGGCACCAGAAAAAAAUAAUUCACCUAUUAUGAAAAUGUCAUAUUAUUAAAAUACAUACCACGAUUUAGCAUUACAAAUGCUUUAAAAAGCUGAAUCAUGGGCUAGGCACAGUGGCUCACACCUGUAAUCCCAGCACUUUGGGAGUCCAAGGAGGGCGGAUCACAAGGUCAGGAGUUCGAGACCAGCCUGGCCAACAUGGUGAAACCCCCUCUACUAAAAAUGCAAAAAUUAGCUGGGUGUGGUGUCAUGCACCUGUAAUCCCAGCUACUCAGGAGGCUGAGUUAAGAGAAUCACUUGAACCCAGGAGGCAGAGAUUGCAGUGAGCCGAGAUCACACCACUACACUCAAGCCUGGGUGACAGAGCAAGACUCCAUCCCCCUCCACCAAAAAAGCUGAAUCAGGUACUACAUUAUUGAAAAAAAUACCCUUUUACCCCUUUUUACUCAUGUCCCUCACCAGUUAUAUAAAAGCAGUUCUAGAAAAGUGGCCUUAGUAUAUUUAAAAGUCUAAUUCAUGCCUUUGAGUAUGCACUCUAUUAUAGGCACUAUGCUCAAUUUGCAAACAUGAAGGAAACUAAAUUACUCUUUUUCAGGAAACUAUAUCCCCUAAUGGACAAACAAUGCUUAAGGGGCCAACUAGACAUUGCAGAGGCUCCUCACAGAGCUGAAAGGAACCUACAUAUAUAACUAGAGGCACAGUGGGUGGCCCUGAAUACCUUACAGGAAACAGACUGAUUUUCUCAUUGAAAAGGUAUGCUACAUGAUGGAGAAGAGUCAGUGGGGCCCCUGCAGUCAGUCCUCUCCCAUGGAAUCCCUGAUCUGCACAAUCACUUAGUAAGGAACAGGAAGACUUCUGGGAUUCAAAUAGUGACCCCAUGUUGCCCAUUCCCUAGAUGAUGGGAACUUCAAGACAACGCUCUAGAAAGAGAAAGGUAAAAGCAAAAAGUAUCUAAGUUCCUAGCUGCUCCAAAAAAAAAAAAGGCCUGCCGCUGGCUGUUGACCACUAAUCCCUAAAAAUGCAUCAGGUGGACUAAAGCCAGGUCUGAGAAGAAAUGAAGGUGCGUAUACACGGCCUACUGCAUCUCUUUCCCCAAAUUACAUUCAAGAUAUACAGAUGUUCUCAGCUACUACUCUUUCCUCAUUUUCCUCCUACAACUUAGCUGUUCUUCCUUUGGCCCUUGCACACUGACUUGCCUGUUGCUCCGUCCAAGUUCUGCUAAUUCCACUUUCUUACUAUUAAUAUUUCUGGAGUCUGCCUAUUUUCACCUUUACUGAAUGCAAUGCUUUAAAAUGGUCUAGGUAUAUUCCCUACCUAGAACUCAUACCUAUGCACAGUGGGACACAUCCAGGGACUUACAUAGCAGCAUUAAUUAUGAGAGUAAAAAAGGAAGAACCACAUAAAAUUCAAUGACAGAUCAUGGGAAUAAAUCAAUGGUUCAUUUAUAAAAUAUAGUAUUUUAUACCAAAGGUUUUCAAACAUCUUGGUCUUGGGAUCCCUUUAUGCUCUUAAUAAUUAUAUUGAUCAUAUCAGAAAUUAAAAUGAUUUUCUUGGAAAUUUAAGUCAUUUAGAAAGAAUAAAUUUAUUACAUUAACAUUUUUGUGGAAAAUAACUUUUCUAAAAAUAAUUGGUCAAAAUGGCAUUGUUUUACAUUUUUAAAAUGUCAGAUCUACUUUUGCUUAUACGGAAUCUUUAGUCACAAAUCAGUCCAUUUAGCCUUUGAGUUGAAAAUAGUAUGAAUACCAUCAGUUGACAUUAAUUAAGCACUUAGUUUAUUUUCUAUAUCUCUCUCAUUUAAUCCUUAUGACAGCCCAAUAAGCUAGGCAUUAUUAUUAUUAUUCCCAUUAUGAUGAUGAGGCAAAAGACUUAAGGAAGGAUAAAUAACUCGAUAAAUGCUACACAAGCAGCUGGUUGGAUUGCAAGGAUUCUAAUCUAGAUGCUCUUACCCACCAUGCUAUGUUAAACUUGAUUGCACUGCAUCAUGCACUUGAGAAUUCAACAGUUAAUUAAUGAUAAUAGGGUCAAAUUUACAUCUAAAAA